Delphinapterus leucas (beluga whale) is the source of this 5970-nucleotide non-coding RNA. NCBI's taxonomy places the organism in Eukaryota, Metazoa, Chordata, Mammalia, Artiodactyla, Monodontidae. The record is from RefSeq and is a predicted model, not a curated record.
UCUGUUUUAUUUCCAAAGUGCCGUCAUUUGCUCUUACAUCACCUGUCUCCCCAGUCAAUUGGCAGGCGCCAAGGCUGUCUUCUCACUGCUGCCCCCUCCCCAGGUUAGCACAGUGCCUGGCGCAUGGUAAGAGUGAAGAGUGAAUGAGUGAAUGAAUGAAUGGAUGGAUGGAUGGAUGAGAAGGUAGGGAGACAGAAAGUGGCCACUCUUGCCUGCGACGUGGCUACCCUGCUCAGCUCAGGAAACCUGGCCAUCCCCAAGCCCACCUCUCCAGACCACCUCUCUAAAGGGGUUUUGCUGGGUUUAGGAAUGGGUGGGGGUCAGGGUCUUGGUCAGAGGGCAGGGGGCUCUUCCCUUCUUAUCCUAUUUUCACUCAGAGGGAAAGAAGGGCCUCCACAGACCCUCCCUCUCCCAGCAACCAGGGGCUGGGGAACAAAUAGUAUUUCUAAAGUCUGGGGGUGGGGAGGAGGAGGAAGUGUCCUCAUUGUUGGGGGAGGAGUGAUGCAGCCAGCACCCAUCUGCACCCUUUCCUCACUUCACUUCCCAGACCUUGAGGGGGCCCUGGCCCUAGGGGAGUGCAGGUCUGGACGCUCAUAAUAUUCGGUGCAAGAGAAUAACAGCCACCAGUAAAUGCACACAUUCCCCGUGUCAGUCUUGACACGCAGGACCGAAUUAUUUCCCACAACGGUUCUCAGUGGUGGGAGUUGUCUCCAUUCUCCAGAAGAGGAAACUGAGGCUCAGAGUGGUGGGAGGGCAAGCCCAACAUCACCCAGCCAGGAAGGAGUGGCACUGGGAUGGAACCCAGGACUCUGAGGUUCAAUACCUGCUCAUUCAUCUAAUGUCUGCUGUGUGCCAGGCACCUUCAUGUCUCCAGACAUCCUGAGAAGUGGGUAUUCUGUCCCUCAUUUUGCAGAAGGGAAAACCGAAGCUCAGCAGAGAGGUGAAAGGGCUGGCCCUCAGUCUCACAGCCUGUUAGAGGCAGGCAGAGCCAAGUGGAAGCACAGGUCUGCCUGACUCCAAAUCCACUCUGCAGUCUCUACCCUGCAGUUUGCUCCUCAGCUCAAGUGUCCAGGUUGUUUCAGAUUUGUAUUAGGCCCUGGGUAGUGAAGGGUCAGAUCAAUCAACCAGCAGUUGUUGGGUCCCUCAAAAGCCCCUGAAGUAUGACACUGUCCCUACAGGUAAGGAAGAUGUCAUCCAGUUGGGAGGGUGGCAUAUUAAUAUGUAAAGAGUUAUAAGAACUAAAUGACAAACAGAAACUUUGGGCACUCUCACAAGGGCAUGUGUAUGAUCCACAAUUCUGAGGAAUUGGUCAGGGAAUGUGGCCUUGAAAGAUUUUUUAGAGACAGAAGUCCACAUGAUACGCAUUACAAUUACAAUGAAUUGAUCAUCAUUAUAAUGACAAAAACCGUUAAUAAUCACUAUAAUUAGGCCCCGUUGCUGUUCCCAUUUCACAGAUGAGGAUGCUGAAGCUCAGAAAGAGAAAGCGACAUCCCCAAGGCCGGCCAGCUGAUGCAGAAACCGUGGCCCAGAGAGGUUAAGUGAUUCGCCAAAGGUCGCACAGCGAGAAGGACCGCCCCCCACUUCCCCCGAUAUGCAGAAACUGAGGCUCAGAAGGCGACAGAGGUAAAUCUUGGACCAAAUCCCUUUCCCCAUCUGGGCCUCCAUCUCAUCUGGUUGCCGACCUCCAAGAAUCCCCUGGCCAAGCGUCUUCUCACGGCUCCUGCCCAGGCAUCCGGGAGGCGGAGUGGCGCAAAGCCAGGCCUCACCUCCCUGGCCCCUGCCAGCCCGCUUCUUACCCUGCUGCCCAGGGUGGGCGGGGUCCAGGCCAGGGCAGCUGGCAGCUGGCCCCACGUCCCUCCGGCUGGUGAGGAGGUGACCAGGGCCAUUUGCGGUAAUGGAUUGCGGGCGGGUGGUGGCUGGGUGAAGGAGUACAUUGGCCGCGGCCCUUAAUGCCUCACAAGCCAGCUCUGGCAUGGGUAAUUUACUGCUGCCGACAAUAACAUAUUUCACUUCCCGUCGCCCCGAUGAAGAUUAGUUGUGUUUGAAAGUGGCUGAGUACACAGUCAAUUCCGCUUAAACGUUUACAGUCAACUGAGCACAGAUAAUGCCCCCUCCAACAUGUGUCUGUGCCUCCUGUGGCUAGAGGAGGGGCCCGGAGUGGGGGCAGGGGGUCGCAGCCCAGGGAAGGGGCUGCAGCUGCACGGAGGAAGGGAUUCGGGAGCUGGGGGCUGGGCAGAGGUCUACGGCUUCCUUCGGCCCCACUUUUCAGAUUGUCUUUUAAAAUCAUCCGUGCAACAAAUGCUUCCCUGGGACUGGCCAAGGACAUCUGUGUAGAUGGGUAUGGGGAGGAUUCAAAGCCAUGAUUACAUUUCAUCCCGUCAACAUCCCUGGGAGGCAGGUCUUAUCUCCAGUUUCCAAAAGAACGGAAACUAAGGCUCAGAGAGGCUCAUUAGCUUUCUGGAUGUCUCACAACUGGUACCAGAUGGGGCCAUGAUUUGAACCCAAGCCUGAUGGAGUUUCUGAGUCUUGAGCUGUUCCUAGUGACGUGGAUUCUACCAGCUUAAGCCCUGGGCUGGGCAGGGUUGUCUGCCCAGGGCUCCUGGGUAAACUGUAGACUUGCAUCCUCUAUGCACCCAUGUUUGGGUUGACUACCAGGCUCCAAGGCUCAGACUUAGAAUCCCUGGGUCAUAUGGAGGGUCCCGUGGGUGCCAUGAGUCUGAUGGGAUUGGAGGCUGGACAGAGUCCCAGGCACAGAACUUCACUUGUUGGGGAGGGAAGUUUCCCCUGAUAAGCAGGCUUCUUGCCGUCUUUGGGAGCAGAGUGGUUUGAGGAUUGGGUGCAGCUCCCGCCAGGCCUGCCGGUGACACUCUCAAGGCUCUGGAUCGGGCACAAAUGGAGGCCCCAGCACCAGCCCCUGAGCCUUCUCUUCCCAUCAUGGGCCAUGUCCAGAACUGGAGGGGCCUCACUCCCACACAGUGGGACACCAGCUUGCUAGGGUCACACCACCCCCUUCAAACAUCCACCCCUUGACCUUGGGCUUGGGCGUGUUCACAUCUGUGACAGGUUUGUCCUGGGAGGAUGGACCUCGGAAGAGGACUUCCAGGCCUUGGAAGUGGACUCAAGGCUCUUAGAGAAGGGGAUUCCAGGAUGCCGUCUUCCUGAGUACGGUCAGCAGAGGCACAGGCUCCUGGUGGGCACGUCUCCUGGGCCCGUAGAUACUUCAUCCUGUGGGAAGGGGCGUGGUCAGCCCUGUAAGACACAGGUGGCGCCCAUCCAAGGUGGUGGCGCCCAUCCAAGGUGGUGCAGCCGCCCAGCCAGACUUGCUCACAAGGCGGGGGGAGAGGGGGUGAGUGGGUGGCCUGGGCUUCUCCCCUCCUCACCGCUCCCCGCCUUGAGCCAGCCCCGAAAUUCCUCCGAGGGGCAUCCACGCCCAGGGACGCUGCAGGCACUGCACCCAAGGCCUGCAGGGAAGAACCAGAGGCUUGCCUGUCUGGCCUGAGGCUGGGCCUUCCACAGCCAGAGCCACGCUGUAAGCAGCAUCCUUUAUUGAGCACCUGCAGUAUGCCAGCUCUCCUCCAGGCCCCUCCAGCACUGUUCCACUCAAGCUGCAUGGUAUCCUGGCUGGUGGCUGUUCCCUCUCCCUUUCUCAGAGGAGAAUGAGACUCAGAGCGGGGAGGAGGACACACAGAAGGAGGGAUGGAGCCAGGAUUCAACCCUGGGGCUGUGCUCCUAUGGGGGGGCCUGGCCUCUGUGCUCGGGACACGUGGUGUGAGAGAGAAUGUGCUUGUGCGCGUGGGUGGCCACUCAUGUCCCUGUGUGACAGAUGGGGAGUGUCCCAUGCUGAGUGUGAUACCGUGUCUGGUAAGUCAUGCCCGUGGAUGCCAUGGGCACUGCGUCUCCCAGGGUGACAGUGUCCCAGUUACGCUAUGUUUUUCCAUGUCUUUAGGACAUGGCCAUGUGACCCUAAGUUGUUUGUGUGAUAUCGGUGUCGGUGUCUAUCCGUGCCUGAUGACACCAUCUGGGUGACUUGUGUCUGUGUGACCCCCAUCUAUCCGUGUCUCAUGACAUUGUUGGAUGACCUUGUUGUGUACGGGUGGUGCUGUCCCCACUGAGGAGCUGUAACUGGGUAAUUUGCAGGGUCGAGGGGCCGUGCUGGACACUGGGUGCUGGCAGAGCUUGGUGGCUGCUGGACCCAUCUCUGCAGUCCCGGUCACCCUGUCCACCUACCUGGCCAUGCAGGCACCCUGAGGCCUGGGCCCCCGAGUGGAGGAAGUGGCCACAGAGGCUGCGGUCCUCGGCCACACCGACCAGAGUGCCUGCCACUGGGCAGGGCUGACCCCAUGUCAUCUUGUCAUCCCUCCACCCCAGGGGGCACCUCUCACCAUCAACUCUCUGUCCUCAGCAGCAGCAGUGGCAGAGCCCUCCGUCCGGGGCUGCACCCCAUCCCAGCCACGUCCAAGCCUGGCCCCUCUGCGGGGCCCCCAGGACCCUCCCCCACAUCCACUUAUCAAGCUCCAACGAGCCAAGCCUAUUCCAGGCACUGGGGAUUCAAUCAAUUCCCUGCCCUCACCAAGCACAAUGAAUAGAUGUGCUCAGGCCAGGAGCGCCCCCAUUAGACCACCCUUGGAUGCUGAGCCCCUGCCUAGCUCCUGCCCCCAUGGUGCCCCCAGCACAGCUGAAGCCUCCUGAAUUGGAGGAUAAGGAAUUUGGGAUGGGAAUUGUGAGCCUGCCUGACGUCCCCUUGCUGUGUGACCUUAGAUAUAUUGCUUAACUUCUCUGGUCUGAGACAUGAGAUGACCUAAGAAAGGGCUUGACAGUUUGGAAGGGCAGCAGAAACAGCAGACUGCCCUGCAUGGCCCAGAGCUCUGCGGUGUUCAGAGGGCUGCUGCCCCCACCACUGAUGAUGACAGAAAUGGCAACUUCUGUCUCUUAGCACAGGGCUGGGGCCAAGCUCCUUGUGUGUUGUAGCUCCUCGGAGACAGGCCCUCUUUUAUUUUCACUCUGCAGAUGUGGAAACAGGUUCAGAGAGGGCAAAUGACUUGCUCAAGGCAACCACAGCAAGAAGCGAACAGGCUUAAACUAAACCUGUAUUCAGGACAACUCCCGCGUCCCCUACCAUUGUCUCCAGUAUGCAUGGGGCGUGGCAGAAAUGACUAUCCCUUUUACAGCUGGGGAAACUGAGGCUUAGAGAGGGGAUGUGAUGUUUUGGGGUCUCUGGACUCCCAAGCCACUGCUCUCUCCCACCCCUCCCUAAUCUCUCUACCCUCCUGAGUGCAAAUCACCAUGGUGGGGUUGGGGAGGGCUGGGAGGCAAAGAGAGAAAGGCUGUCAGAGACAAAGAACCGCUGUGGCCGCACAAUGGUGACAAUCCAAGCCAGAUGACAGGCACUGGGCUUCAGGAGCAGCUUGGAGCCCACCUGCAGCUUCCUCCAGACAAUGAGAAGCCUAUGCUCCUGGGGGGUGGGGCACAAUAGGCACCCUGUGUUCAGGGGCCUGCCUCUCCCUGCACCACUCUGGGGACGAGAGAUGGCCCAGGCAGCCACUGCCUGGCCUAGGAACAAGGGGCGAGGGGCUGGUGAGCUCACACAUGGUGGUGGUGGGAGGGGGAAGGGGCAACCCACCCACAUGGCGGGAUUUGGAAGGUCUCUCUUUCCCGACCCAAACACCCCACCAUAAGUGGCCUCUUACCUUGCCUGAAAAUGUAGAAGUAGCUCUCCAAUUCCCUCUGGGCAAGCAACUUAAAUUUAUCUCCGAACUUCUGGUUCUCCAUCUGUAAGAUGAAGAUGAUAGAUUUUGCUUGGCAGAGGUGCUGUUGGGAUUAGAUGAGGGAGACACAUUGAAUGACAUGUAGUAAUGGCUUGAGAUGUGUUAGUUCCUUUUCAUGAUGAGUGAAAGGAUGGCUGGGUGGGUGGGUGGGGUGAUGCGUGGAUGCAUGUAUGGAUGGAGGGGAGAUUAGAUGAGUGGAAGGACU